RNAcentral lists this unclassified non-coding RNA (212 nucleotides) under Hevea brasiliensis (rubber tree). The record is from RNAcentral. Lineage: Eukaryota; Viridiplantae; Streptophyta; Magnoliopsida; Malpighiales; Euphorbiaceae.
GCCGGCGCUUCUUUGCCAAAUCCCUGAAAGGGCUGGUUACACUCCAGUCCCACACCCGACUCCACCUGCGCGAUUUUCUCCUAUUAACAUCGGCUUGAACUCGAUUUUCCUGAGUGGAAACCACACUAUCAAUCUCUCUGACAUCAACACCUUUAUCAACGACUGACGGCACAGGCUCUACACCCCUACGAGAGCGAUCUUGCUGUUCUUCG